GGUUAAGCGACUAAGCGUACACGGUGGAUGCCCUGGCAGUCAGAGGCGAUGAAGGACGUGCUAAUCUGCGAUAAGCGCCGGUAAGGUGAUAUGAACCGUUAUAACCGGCGAUUUCCGAAUGGGGAAACCCAGUGUGAUUCGUCACACUAUCAUUAACUGAAUCCAUAGGUUAAUGAGGCGAACCGGGGGAACUGAAACAUCUAAGUACCCCGAGGAAAAGAAAUCAACCGAGAUUCCCCCAGUAGCGGCGAGCGAACGGGGAGGAGCCCAGAGCCUGAAUCAGCAUGUGUGUUAGUGGAAGCGUCUGGAAAGGCGCGCGAUACAGGGUGACAGCCCCGUACACAAAAGCGCAUGUGCUGUGAGCUCGAUGAGUAGGGCGGGACACGUGGUAUCCUGUCUGAAUAUGGGGGGACCAUCCUCCAAGGCUAAAUACUCCUGACUGACCGAUAGUGAACCAGUACCGUGAGGGAAAGGCGAAAAGAACCCCGGCGAGGGGAGUGAAAAAGAACCUGAAACCGUGUACGUACAAGCAGUGGGAGCACAGGUUUACCUGUGUGACUGCGUACCUUUUGUAUAAUGGGUCAGCGACUUAUAUUCUGUAGCAAGGUUAACCGUAUAGGGGAGCCGGAGGGAAACCGAGUCUUAAUUGGGCGUUAAGUUGCAGGGUAUAGACCCGAAACCCGGUGAUCUAGCCAUGGGCAGGUUGAAGGUUGGGUAACACUAACUGGAGGACCGAACCGACUAAUGUUGAAAAAUUAGCGGAUGACCUGUGGCUGGGGGUGAAAGGCCAAUCAAACCGGGAGAUAGCUGGUUCUCCCCGAAAGCUAUUUAGGUAGCGCCUCGUGAAUUCAUCUCCGGGGGUAGAGCACUGUUUCGGCUAGGGGGCCAUCCCGGCUUACCAACCCGAUGCAAACUGCGAAUACCGGAGAAUGUUAUCACGGGAGACACACGGCGGGUGCUAACGUCCGUCGUGAAGAGGGAAACAACCCAGACCGCCAGCUAAGGUCCCAAAGUCAUGGUUAAGUGGGAAACGAUGUGGGAAGGCCCAGACAGCCAGGAUGUUGGCUUAGAAGCAGCCAUCAUUUAAAGAAAGCGUAAUAGCUCACUGGUCGAGUCGGCCUGCGCGGAAGAUGUAACGGGGCUAAACCAUGCACCGAAGCUGCGGCAGCGAACGUAUCACCCAAGACAACUUUACGGAGUUGACGAUUGACGGAGCGAAGCGACGUCAAAGCGUUCAUUAAAGUCGAGUUGGCUUAGGGAUACGUUCGUUGGGUAGGGGAGCGUUCUGUAAGCCUGUGAAGGUGUGUCGUGAGGCAUGCUGGAGGUAUCAGAAGUGCGAAUGCUGACAUAAGUAACGAUAAAGCGGGUGAAAAGCCCGCUCGCCGGAAGACCAAGGGUUCCUGUCCAACGUUAAUCGGGGCAGGGUGAGUCGACCCCUAAGGCGAGGCCGAAAGGCGUAGUCGAUGGGAAACGGGUUAAUAUUCCCGUACUUGGUGUUACUGCGAAGGGGGGACGGAGAAGGCUAUGUUGGCCGGGCGACGGUUGUCCCGGUUUAAGCGUGUAGGUGUGUGUUCCAGGUAAAUCCGGUUCACUUUAACACUGAGGCGUGACGACGAGGCACUACGGUGCUGAAGCAACAAAUGCCCUGCUUCCAGGAAAAGCCUCUAAGCAUCAGGUAACAUCAAAUCGUACCCCAAACCGACACAGGUGGUCAGGUAGAGAAUACCAAGGCGCUUGAGAGAACUCGGGUGAAGGAACUAGGCAAAAUGGUGCCGUAACUUCGGGAGAAGGCACGCUGACACGUAGGUGAAGUGAUUUACUCAUGGAGCUGAAGUCAGUCGAAGAUACCAGCUGGCUGCAACUGUUUAUUAAAAACACAGCACUGUGCAAACACGAAAGUGGACGUAUACGGUGUGACGCCUGCCCGGUGCCGGAAGGUUAAUUGAUGGGGUCAGCGCAAGCGAAGCUCCUGAUCGAAGCCCCGGUAAACGGCGGCCGUAACUAUAACGGUCCUAAGGUAGCGAAAUUCCUUGUCGGGUAAGUUCCGACCUGCACGAAUGGCGUAAUGAUGGCCAGGCUGUCUCCACCCGAGACUCAGUGAAAUUGAACUCGCUGUGAAGAUGCAGUGUACCCGCGGCAAGACGGAAAGACCCCGUGAACCUUUACUAUAGCUUGACACUGAACAUUGAGCCUUGAUGUGUAGGAUAGGUGGGAGGCUUUGAAGUGUGGACGCCAGUCUGCAUGGAGCCGACCUUGAAAUACCACCCUUUAAUGUUUGAUGUUCUAACGUGGACCCGUAAUCCGGGUUGCGGACAGUGUCUGGUGGGUAGUUUGACUGGGGCGGUCUCCUCCUAAAGAGUAACGGAGGAGCACGAAGGUUGGCUAAUCCUGGUCGGACAUCAGGAGGUUAGUGCAAUGGCAUAAGCCAGCUUGACUGCGAGCGUGACGGCGCGAGCAGGUGCGAAAGCAGGUCAUAGUGAUCCGGUGGUUCUGAAUGGAAGGGCCAUCGCUCAACGGAUAAAAGGUACUCCGGGGAUAACAGGCUGAUACCGCCCAAGAGUUCAUAUCGACGGCGGUGUUUGGCACCUCGAUGUCGGCUCAUCACAUCCUGGGGCUGAAGUAGGUCCCAAGGGUAUGGCUGUUCGCCAUUUAAAGUGGUACGCGAGCUGGGUUUAGAACGUCGUGAGACAGUUCGGUCCCUAUCUGCCGUGGGCGCUGGAGAACUGAGGGGGGCUGCUCCUAGUACGAGAGGACCGGAGUGGACGCAUCACUGGUGUUCGGGUUGUCAUGCCAAUGGCACUGCCCGGUAGCUAAAUGCGGAAGAGAUAAGUGCUGAAAGCAUCUAAGCACGAAACUUGCCCCGAGAUGAGUUCUCCCUGAGACUUAGAGUCUCCUGAAGGAACGUUGAAGACGACGACGUUGAUAGGCCGGGUGUGUAAGCGCAGCGAUGCGUUGAGCUAACCGGUACUAAUGAACCGUGAGGCUUAACCUU
RNAcentral lists this ribosomal RNA (2992 nucleotides) under Salmonella enterica subsp. enterica serovar Typhimurium. RNAcentral's name for it is "23S ribosomal RNA". It matches the Rfam family "Bacterial large subunit ribosomal RNA". Lineage: Bacteria; Pseudomonadati; Pseudomonadota; Gammaproteobacteria; Enterobacterales; Enterobacteriaceae. The record is from RNAcentral. RNAcentral also lists the same sequence under 1 other name.